RNAcentral lists this ribosomal RNA (294 nucleotides) under uncultured eukaryote. RNAcentral describes it as "partial 18S ribosomal RNA". It matches the Rfam family "Eukaryotic small subunit ribosomal RNA", at positions 1470 to 1796 of the family's 1831-position model. The record is from RNAcentral.
CCCUUUGAUACUCUGGGCGGCACGCGCGCUACACUGGUCUAUUGAAUGUGUUAUGAAAGCGAGAGCUUAAAUAAAUCACUAAUAUAGAACCGUGAAUGGGAUAGUUUAUUGCAACUUACAAACUUGAACUAGGAAUCCCUUGUAGAAGUAGUGCAUUAUACUGCUUCGAAUACGUCCCUGCCGAUUGUACACACCGCCCGUCGUUUCUUCCGACUGGUACUCAUUGUGAAUUGCGGGGAGAUACUUUCGAACCGUUGUGAAUGCUGGGUAUUGGAGGAAGAAAAAGUCGUAACA